RNAcentral lists this long non-coding RNA (1826 nucleotides) under Homo sapiens (human). RNAcentral describes it as "HSALNT0210822". The record is from RNAcentral. Lineage: Eukaryota; Metazoa; Chordata; Mammalia; Primates; Hominidae.
GUCCGCCCCACCCCCAGCACCCCGGCAGAAACCGCACCCCACUUCCCAUAGCCACGUUCUUCCCCAGACCUUACCCUGCCCAAGAGGUUGUCCUGAAGUAAUGUCUGCUGCAGCACUGGGGCCACCUCCUCCAAGCUCAACAUGUGGCAAAGGUCGUUCAUUUUUAACGUGCUGGAUUUUCCGAUGAAAGCCUGAAACCUGCACAUCUGAAGAUGCCUUCGCCAUGAUGCAAUGGAUGCCAAACACGACAUACACCCUUGGGACGGUGACCUCAGCCAUCUGCAACAAGGCUCUCAGAACCAGUCCUUUGACUAUAAAAAAAGCAGCAGCUUUCACUAACCAAGCAUCUUUAAUCCAAGCCAAAUUACAGAACUCUCUAACUUAGAGGUGAUCGUCCAUACGGCAGAUCAUUACAACAUGAAAAACGUAAGCUAAGAUGUUGAACACAGCCAGAACUGAAAAUAAAAGAGCUUUCUAAAACAAAUCAAUGUUGCUCUAGGUUGUGUUUGCUUUCUUUCCAUAGACAGCUGUUCAAAACAUGACAAGCUACAACAGGGCCACGAUCUUGCCAGGGGUUUCAGCAGAACUGGGUGGACACAGAAGAUAAAUGUGAACAGCUCUGCCAUACAGCUCAGUUUUUACUGGGGCCACUCAUUAAAGUAAAGCAACAUGGCACAAUUUUGGUCCAGGUUCCUGGUCUUGGACAGGUCUCUUCUCCUAAUUAUCAGUUUUUCUGUUACUAAGGUGCUGCAGGCUCUGGCUGUCUUCCCAGGAUUGGUCUGUUGGGUUAACUAAUCACUAUGUAAAUGUUUUCAAAAUAAGUUGAGAGUGUUAUAUAAACAUCAAAGCCUCAGAAAAGAAACACCAAGUUGUUAUGCAAAGCCACAGGAGUUAAGAAUUUAGACAAGGCCAACACUUCGCUAACAAGAUUCACUUAGAGUCCACCAGUUAAUUGUCAACUAAGAUCUGCUGAGAAUCCCCAAGGUGCUCCAGGAUUUUCAGUGUUGCGGUAGCUCUUAGUCUCACUCUGAGUUUUACAGUCCCCUGGGCUGUUAUCUGACCGACCUCAUAAAAGCAAGACUCUUCUUUUGCUUGAUUUUGCAUAUAUGUUUAAAAACUCAAAAGCGAAAGAAUUCUAACACUUCCCUUUUUAAAAAUUAUUUUUAAGGGGCGGGGAUUUGUCCAUCUUAAACCAAUGAAAGAGAGGAAUAAAACACUGAUGUACUGAGAAGCCCUGAUCUUAUCCACGGUGUCGAAUUUGAUAUACUAUCAUGCCCCACUCUUUGGGAGGUCAUUGGAUUUUCACUAAAUCAAACCUCUUUCAUUUUAUGGCAGCUUUCUUUUCUUUAUCUCUUUAUUUCAUCUCCUUCCUUCUCAAAACACUGUGCUUGACUGAAGGGGAGACAAGCACCACCCCUGUGGAACAAAUGCUCACGCUGAAACAUCCAGGAGAUGUUACGCAUGGUGACAAGUUGUCAGUGCUCAUCUGGCACAGAAGGCAUUUUUACUGGUUGAUAUUAUUUCCCAAAUGUUCAUCAGUAAUUUCAUGUGCAAGAAUUUUUUUCUCCCCACUUGGCAGAAAGUUCUUUAAUGGUAAGAUCCACGCUCCUAUUUCUUUUAUAUCUUCCCCCAAAUGCAUACUACAGUCAGUCUGUUCUUCAAGCCAGGGAUUUGGUAAAUAUCAUGGAUUGACUUCCUGUAUGGAUCACUCCUUGAGAGGAAACGUACCCUAAAUGAGGUCUACAGAAAUGGGCAUAUGAAAAUUUUGGAAUGCCCAUCUCAUCCACCUACACACCUCCACUUCCCCCAUCCCACCCUUUCUCAAA